Molecule: non-coding RNA, 276 nt
Organism: Schizosaccharomyces pombe (fission yeast)
Lineage: Eukaryota; Fungi; Ascomycota; Schizosaccharomycetes; Schizosaccharomycetales; Schizosaccharomycetaceae
Source: the annotation of a GenBank genome assembly
UCUGCUAAAGUUCCGGACCAUUCGCCAGUAACAGUAAUGUAGGGAGAGGAAGCAAUGGAAUCACCAAUGGAGCAAACAUCUGAAAGAUGAUCAUCGAGAGUCUUUGAGCACUCAUCCGACUCGUAAAGUUGAUAACGAUGGACAUCCAUAACAAGAUUGUAUGAAGAAGGAGAUACAACACCAUAAUCCCAAAUAGAAAGAUCAACAUAGGCAUCGUGAAUGAUAGUAGCAACAGAGCUGGAAAGAGGAUUGACGAUAUUAUAGGCAUCUAAAUCG